GGGUGAUCACUUGAUUGCAAGGCCCUUUCUUUAUCCUAUUAUUUUGACCUGGUGCCUAACAAUCCUCCCCCUCGUCAGGGAAUGAUCGUCCACGAUCAUACUUAGGCCACCAUCCGGUCACCAUGGUCCUUCUCUUAGGGUCUACCAAACCUUGGUUCUCCCUCUAGAUCCAUCAUGUUGAAUAUUCCUUUAGAAUAUUCUGCCCCACUCGUCAGCCACGAGAAUCGAACUGGGCUCCGAUACCAAUGUUAGGAUCCUAUCCCUUACACCCUAAGCCAACUGGCUAAAGGGGUGAUCAC
This 299-nucleotide long non-coding RNA is filed under the name Selaginella moellendorffii. Its description in RNAcentral is "long non-coding RNA (SMOE_LNC001451)". Lineage: Eukaryota; Viridiplantae; Streptophyta; Lycopodiopsida; Selaginellales; Selaginellaceae. The record is from RNAcentral.